Molecule: ribosomal RNA, 596 nt
Filed under: uncultured Basidiomycota
Lineage: Eukaryota; Fungi; Basidiomycota
Description: LSU rRNA
Rfam family: Eukaryotic large subunit ribosomal RNA
Source: RNAcentral
UUACCGUAGUAAAGGCGAGUGAAGCGGGAAGAGCUCAAAUUUAAAAUCUGGCAGUUCCCCUGAGCUGUCCGAGUUGUAAUCUAGAGAAGUGCUUUCCGUGCUGGACCGUGUACAAGUCUCUUGGAAUGGAGCGUCAUAGAGGGUGAGAAUCCCGUCUUUGACAUGGACUACCAGCGCUUCAUGUGAGGCACUCUCAGAGAGUCGAGUUGUGUUGGGAAUGCAGCUCAAAAUGGGUGGUAAAUUCCAUCUAAAGCUAUAAUAUGGGCGAGAGACCGAUAGCGAACAAGUACCGUGGGGGAAAGAUGAAAAGAACUUUGAAAAGAGAGUUAAACAGUACGUGAAAUUGUUGAAAGGGAAACGUUUCAAGUCAGUCGCGUUGGCUGGUAAUCAACCUUUGCAAUCUUGSUGGGCUUACUUUCCAGUCKACGGGUCAGCAUCAAUUUUGACUGUCAGAUAAAGGCGUGGGGAAUGUGGCAUCUUCGGAAUGUGUUAUAGCCCCUUGUCAGAUGUGAUGGUUGGGAUUGAGGAACUCAGCAUGCCUUUAACUGGUCGGGGCCUACAAUGCCACACAGUAACAUGCUCAGGAUGCUGGCAUA